This 497-nucleotide ribosomal RNA is filed under the name uncultured bacterium. RNAcentral's name for it is "partial 16S ribosomal RNA". It matches the Rfam family "Bacterial small subunit ribosomal RNA", at positions 28 to 507 of the family's 1533-position model. The record is from RNAcentral.
GACGAACGCUGGCGGCGUGCCUAAUACAUGCAAGUUGAGCGCUGAAGGUUGGUACUUGUACCGACUGGAUGAGCAGCGAACGGGUGAGUAACGCGUGGGGAAUCUGCCUUUGAGCGGGGGACAACAUUUGGAAACGAAUGCUAAUACCGCAUAAAAACUUUAAACACAAGUUUUAAGUUUGAAAGAUGCAAUUGCAUCACUCAAAGAUGAUCCCGCGUUGUAUUAGCUAGUUGGUGAGGUAAAGGCUCACCAAGGCGAUGAUACAUAGCCGACCUGAGAGGGUGAUCGGCCACAGUGGGACUGAGACACGGCCCAAACUCCUACGGGAGGCAGCAGUAGGGAAUCUUCGGCAAUGGACGAAAGUCUGACCGAGCAACGCCGCGUGAGUGAAGAAGGGUGUCGGAUCGUAAAACUCUGUUGGUAGAGAAGAACGUUGGUGAGAGUGGAAAGCUCAUCAAGUGACGGUAACUACCCAGAAAGGGACGGCUAACUACGUG